Molecule: ribosomal RNA, 441 nt
Filed under: uncultured Acinetobacter sp.
Lineage: Bacteria; Pseudomonadati; Pseudomonadota; Gammaproteobacteria; Moraxellales; Moraxellaceae
Description: bacterial SSU rRNA
Rfam family: Bacterial small subunit ribosomal RNA
Source: RNAcentral
GGAAUAUUGGACAAUGGGGGGAACCCUGAUCCAGCCAUGCCGCGUGUGUGAAGAAGGCCUUUUGGUUGUAAAGCACUUUAAGCGAGGAGGAGGCUCCUAUAGAUAAUACCUAUAGAGAGUGGACGUUACUCGCAGAAUAAGCACCGGCUAACUCUGUGCCAGCAGCCGCGGUAAUACAGAGGGUGCAAGCGUUAAUCGGAUUUACUGGGCGUAAAGCGUACGUAGGUGGUCUUUUAAGUCGGAUGUGAAAUCCCUGAGCUUAACUUAGGAAUUGCAUUCGAUACUGGGAGACUAGAGUAUGGGAGAGGAUGGUAGAAUUCCAGGUGUAGCGGUGAAAUGCGUAGAGAUCUGGAGGAAUACCGAUGGCGAAGGCAGCCAUCUGGCCUAAUACUGACACUGAGGUACGAAAGCAUGGGGAGCAAACAGGAUUAGAUACCCGAG